UCCCUUCGUCCCUUCUCUCUUCUUCUCUUCUCAUCUCCCUCUUUCAUAAAACCCUAACGCCUCCGCGAGCUUCUAUUUUCCGUACUCAACUCGGAUCUCUCAUCUCUCCCUUUCUUCUUCGCUCCACAGCCGCCAAAACCCUAAGAUGCCCACCUCUUCUCUACAACUCUCUACCCGAAGUCACACCGACACUGAGCAUCUGUGCUUCGUUCACCGCUUCUCGUCGUUCCUGCAAGUUCAAACUUGAAGCCCCAAAUUCCCCUCCGAAACUCGCCUUCACUCCUCUCUGUCUUCGCACUCCUCCGAAUUCACCUUCGCAACUCGCCUUUGCAAUUUUCCUCUUCCCCCACAAUUUGAUAUCCCUAAGCUCAGAUUCUCUGAUACCCUUUUCGCCAAACCCCUAAAUCUCGAGUCUUCUCCUGCUGUCGUUGUUCACAACAAGACACCUCUAGGAAAAUGGAAUAGAUCCGAGCUCUCCUUGAGCUCGAAAGGUAGGAGGCCUCAAUGGCGAGGAACCACUCAACUCCCGAACACGAUCAAGCAGAUAAGUGUCAAUUUUUCACUUCUGUUUUGAUGUUCAUACUGUGGUGAUGCUUCAAAUGUCAGGUGGUGUCUGAAUUUUUGUGAGGUAAAAAACGAAAAUCUGCUCACUUGCUUGUGAUUCAAGGUUGGUGAUGAUGAUGUUUCUUGGUGCAUGCAUUUCUCUGAUUAGGGUUUUGGGUAGAGGGAAGGAGAUGAGCUAAUCUUGUCUCAAAUUUGGUGAGCGAGCACGAGUCAACCCGGUGAGUUAGAGGAACUCAGGUAGAUCCGAGUGAGUCACGUGUCAGUAGGCAUGUGAGGGGUUGAGUUGGGUGGGCUUGGUUUAGUUUUUUUUAUAAAUGGGCUGAAAAAAAGGUUGGGCCUCUUGGUGUUUUCAAAAGUGGGCUAGCUUUGUUUGAACUGGAAUGGGCUAGCUUUGAAAUUAAAUUGGGUGUCUGGGUUGUUUUUUAAAAGGGUUGGGGGUAUUUUGAAAUAGGUGAGGCCCAAUUUUAGUUUGAAACAAAUGAGCCUGGGGUCUUCUUGAAAAAAAUGGAUCAUGGGCCUCCAUUUUAAAAUGUUUGGGCUUAGUUUCAAAAAAAGGGUACCGAGCCAGGGGUAUUUAAAAACCAAUGGGCUGAUUUAGAAAAACAUUGGAAUGAGGCCCAAGGGGAUUUUAAAAUCCAGUUGGGCUUUUGGGUUUGAAAGGAAGCUCGGGUACGGGUUAAAUGGGUUUGGGUUUGGUAGCCUGGACAUGGGGGAUUUGAUUUCAAGCUUGGAUUCGGAUUUGAGUUAGAUUAGAAAGUUUGAACCCGAAUUGGGAUUCGGGUUUAGGGCAACGAAUUUGGGGUUCAAGCUCAAGUUCAAAACCUAAGAGAGGACCCGGGGAAGGGGGUACCUAAAAUUACACAGAAUAUGAAAAGGGAAUUUGACAAUGUGAAAAAUGCACUACAAACUAGAGCAUAAAUUUUUAUUAUGGAAAGGGAUUUUUGAGUCGUAGUUUCAUUGUUCUUGUUGAAACUUGAAUCCUUAGCCUACCUUUCAUCCCAUGUUUUAAAGUUUACCUUAAGAUUGGAAUAUUGAUCAGAUUACUUAAUGAGACACUAAUUAUAAUUCAAGAUAGGGAGUUUAAAAUAAGCUCGAAAUAAGUAAGAAAGAAUCUCUAGGUGGUGAUACAGUGGAUGAGUUAUGGUUAUGAGACUAAAAAAAUUAAUAAAAAAAAAAGGUUUGCCAAUUGAUAUGAUUCUUUAAGCUAGUAAAGUUACAUUAGUGUCAAAGUACUGGUAAAAUUUGUCUCCUAUUUAACAAGCACAGAAAAUCAAGUAAAGAAAAGCAAGUUUGUGCAUUCCAUCCAUAUCCCUAUUGAAAUUGAGUUAUCUGAUUGCAUGCUUAUUUAUUUAAAUUUCAAGGAGAUUUUAAAACAUGAAGGAGACAAUCCAAAGAAGAUCCCUAUGGAGAAAGAGCAGUCUAACUGGGGCAAAUAUCAUGUCAGGUUUUAGAGAUCUGCUUAUUGAAGAAAAAUCUAACAAUAUGGCCAAGAUUAGUGGCAGAUAUAGUCAAUUGGGGCAAAUUCCGAGUCGAGUUUCAAUGAGGCCCAUUCAAGCGCCUUCUUAUUAUAUUAGAAUAUGAAAACAGGGUCAAGAUUAGUUAUAGAUCCAUUCAAUUAGAGAGAUUUAGUGAUUGAGUUUCAUUUGAGUCAAGCUAAUCACCUCUGUGGCUGGAUGAAUUAAGAAAAUCGGGUUAAGAUAAGUUAUAGAUCCAUUCAGUUGGGGCAGGUUUUGGCUUGAGUUUUAGGGGAACCAAUUUAGAGACAAUAUAGCCAAAAUCAGAGAUUGAGUUGUUGAUUAUAGAUGCAUUGGAAAAACGAAGUUCAUACAUCAUCAUGUAUUUCAUGCAUUACACAAAAAAUAAAAAAUAAAAAAUAAUAAAAAGAUAAAAUAAAAAAUGCAUACAUUUCGUAUCAUGUAACAUGCAUACAUAUCCCCAUUUUCUGGUAUCAUAUCAAACAGCAUGCAUGCACCCUUGCAUUCUAGCAUCACCGAUAACAACAUUCAUGCUUCAUAUGGCAUCAUUCAGUCAUACUUGUUUUGCCGUACAUCUCUUUUCAUCAUUGUCCAAGUAACCCUUGUUUCACUAAUGUUUGAAUAUUGGGGCAAAUGACCCAAGUCUAAGUCAAGUCAUUGUUGUGUGCUUCAGCGCUCGAGUUCUUAAAUCCAGUGCAAGUCAUUCUCGUGUACUUCGGCGCUCAAGUCUUCAAACUUGGUGCAAGUUAUUAUUCUUGUGCUUCGGUGCUUGGGUUCUUACACCCAGUGCAAGUCAUUCUCGUGUGCUUCGGCACUUGAGUUCUUAAACCUAGUGCAAGUUAUUCGUAUGUACUUCGACGCUCAGUGUAAUGACCUGCUUAUAUAUAAUAUAAUAAAACAUAAUAAAUAAAAUAGUCAACCCGAACCCGUAGGUAACGGGGAUGUCUAUCAUACACAGCGGAACUUAGGCAGCUGUAAAUGUAAAUCAUCAUUCUCAUAACCACAAAAUACAUAAUACCUGAGUCAACUAUAAUCCAAAACACUGUAUUUAUAUACAAUCUCCCCAAAAAUCCAAAAAUAGAUUAAAAUCUAGGAACCUAGAACGUAAGUUUCCUAUUUUUAGAUCAAAACUUAUCCUCUCAAUGGCGGUGUCGAUCUGCCGGUCUUUCUGAAUUUCCUGAAAAUUGUUUAAUGUUCGGGGGUGAGACAUUUCUCAGUAAGGAAAAAUAAACUAAAUACAACUAUAUGAUAACAUGAAUAUUUGAUACAAUUAUACAUAUACAGUACAUUUCAUAUACCUGAAAAUAUUCAUCAUAACAUAUUGAAUAAUCAUAACUUUCAUAAUUUCUAAUAAUUCAUACUGAUCAUGAAAUGUUCGAUAUAACUGAUAAUAUUGAAAUUUACCCAAGAUGUAGCUAGCCGAUGUCAUGUAUUACAUCUAUGACGGGUUGUGCAAUCUGAAGACGGGGCUCGACAAUGGCUGGCUGACCACUGCCCAGUCAAAAAUGUCUGUAAGUACGAUGGACCCGCCACACCUUGGUCCGGACUAUCAGGUGGAUGUUUACAACUCUACACUGAAAGCCACAUCGACUAUCCGUCUCUCACCCCCUUGUGGGGCGGUUAGCACAAGUCUGAACAUAAUAUCCGAUCUGUAUAGCUACGGUAUCAUGCUCUUGUAACUGAACUGAACUAUCAUUCAUAUUCUGAUAAUAUAUAAUACAUGAUAAUAUACAAUUUAAUAUAAAUAGAUUGAUGACAUUUUCUAUAAUAACAUAACACAUACGACCUUCUGCCGAUUAUUUUUAUAUUUGUGACCUUGAGCCAAAAUCAAACAUAUACAUACGACCUUGCGCCGAAUAUUUCAUAAAUAUCAUUCUAAAUAAAUAAAUCAUUUAUCAUGUAUUUUGAAACUGUAAUGUACUACAUUAUUGCAUAAUUUCUGAAAACAUAUUUCAUUCAUAAAAUUGUCAUAUUAUAAUACUUUCCACGUAAAAUAAUAUUCAUGCCAUACAUUAUAUUUUAAAAUCAUAAUUUCUGGCAUUUCAUACAUAUAUAUACAUUUCAACAUAAUAGCAGUAUUUUUCCAAAUAUGCAUUUUUACCAAUCUUCUCAUAUAUAUUAUACAUACUUUUUGAAAAUUAAUUUGCUGAUAAAUAAUAAUGAUUUUCAUGGAAAAUAACUGUUUUAGUUUAUUCUCUUACCUGAUUUCUGAGAAGAAACCCCCUAUAAUACCCUCGUCCUGCACCCGCAGGAUUCCUUUUUUAACACCUUAAAAUCGACAACUCUUAUAACUGAACUUUAGUGUUUCUUUGUGUAUAUCAUUUCCUAUAAUUGUGGAAAGACCAAAUAUUGAAUAAAAGACCUUACCUUAAUCCAGAGACAAAUUUCAACUCGAUCCCACAAACAAUUUAUUCCAGUAGAUUUGGAGAGAACUUCUCCAGGAGCGUCGUGGUGGUCUCAUAUCGUCGAUUUGGUGAACGUUGGAGCUGAAAUCGAAGAGAGAGAGAGAGAGAGAGAGAGAGAGAGAGAGAGAGAGAGAGAAUUAUUUUGAUUUUCUGCGUAAAAUUCAAGGUUUUGGGCUAUUUAUACUAUGAGCCUCAUUGAUGAGUCACGUCACCUUGUCGACGAAGUCAAAAGAAAAUUCGUCGAUAAGCUCUCUCAUUCGUUGACGAAAUUCAGAGUUGUCCAAAACAACCUCUCGGUAUUUUCUCAUCGACGAGCCUAUAUUGGCACGUCGUCAACGAAGUCUGCUGCGCCCUCUUUUCUAUUCCCAUUUUCCUCUCUUUCUCUUUAUUAUUUAAAUACCAUUAUUUUUUCGAGUCAUUACACUCAGGUUCUUAAACUUGGUGCAAGUCAUUAUUGUGUGCUUUGGUACUUGGGUUCUCAAACCCAGUGCAAGUUAUUCUCGUGUAUUUCGGCGCUCAGGUCCUCAAACCUGGUGCAAGUCAUUAUUCAUGUGCUUCAGAGCUUGGGUUCUCACACUGUGUGCAAGUCAUUCUCAUGUUCUUCGGCGCUCGGAUUAUCAAACCCAGUGCAAGUCAUUCUCGUGUACUUUGGCGCUCACGUCCUCAAACUUGGUGCAAGUCAUUAUUCAUGUGCUUCAGCGCUUGGGUUCUUAAACCCAGUGCAAGUCAUUCUCAUAUACUUAGGCGCUCAGGUUCUCAAACCCAGUGCAAGUCAUUCUUGUGUACUUUGGCGCUUGGGUCCUCAAACCCGGUGUAAGUCAUUUUCUUGUACUUAUGCGCUCGAGUUCUCAAACCCAGUGCAAGUUAUUCCCAUGUACUUCGGCAUUCGGGUCCUCAAACCCGAUGUAAGUCAUUCUAUUGAACUUUGGCGCUCGAGUUCUCAAACCUAGUGCAAGUUAUUUUCAUGUACUUCAGCAUUCAGGUUCUUAAACCUGGUGCAAGUCAUUCUCAUGUGCUUCGGCGCUCGGGUUCUAAAAUCCAAUGCAAGUUAUUCUCAUCUACUUCGGCGCUCAAGUUCUCAAACCUAGUGUAAGUCAUUAUUGUGUGCUUCGGCACUUGGGCUCUCAAACCCAAUGCAAGUUAUUCUCAUGUAUUUCGGCAUUCAGGUUCUUAAACCUGGUGCAAGUCAUUCUCAUGUGUUUCGGUGCUUGGAUUCUCAAACUCAGUGCAAGUUAUUCUCGUCUACUUCGGCGCUCAGGUUCUCAAACCUAGUGCAAGUCAUUAUUAUGUGCUUCGGCACAAUAGUUCUCAAAUUCAGUGCAAGUUAUUCUCAUGUACUUUGGCGCUCGGGUUCUUAAACCUAGUGCAAGUUAUUCUCAUGUAUUUCGGCGCUCAAGUUCUCAAACCUGAUGCAAGUUAUUAUUUAUAUGCUUCGGCGCUUGGGUUCUCAUACCUAGUGCAAGUCAUUCUCGUGUGCUUCGGCGCUUGGGUUUUCAAACCCAGCGCAAGUUGUUCUUAUGUACUUCGGCGCUCAGGUUCUCAAACCUAGUGCAAGUCAUUAUUGUGUGCUUCGAAACUUGGGUUGUCAAAUCCAGUGCAAGUUAUUCUCAUGUACUUUGGCACUCGGGUUCUCACACCUGGUGCAAGUCAUCAUCAUAUACCUCGGCACUCGGGUUCUCACACCUAGUGCAAGUCAUUAUCAUAUAUUUCAGCACUCGGGUUCUCACAUCUGGUGCAAGUCAUCAUCAUAUAUUUCGGCAUUUGAGUUCUCAAAUCCGAUGCAAGUCAUCCUCUUCAGUUUCUAUUGACUCUUUCAAAAAUAUCAGUUGGAUUACCUUGUUCAUUCAAGAAGUCAUUUUCCAGAGGAUCGCGCUGAACAUUCUUAGAUUGCCUUGUUAUCCAUGAUUGGUAGAAGUGAACAGUACUUGAUUGAAAAGCCCUAGGCAGUUGUGUGGUCUGACUAAAAUAAGUGUCAUUUAUCUUUAUAAGCUUGUUGCUAAAGGUAACGGAGAAGAGCUCCUACUGUUACCUUGAAGCAAUGAAGCCUAUAUAGAGGGACAGCUGUAAACACCAUAUUUUUGCCCGGGCAAAAUAAGAUUAUUAUUAUUAUUAUUAUUAUUAUUAUUAUUAUUAUUAUUUUAACUAUUUCUAUUAUUAGUAUUAUCAUUGUUUUUUAAUAUUACAUUAUUAUUAUUAUUACAAAAAAGGUGCAAAAUAAAAAUAAAAAAGGGGGCGGCACAUGUUAGGAUUUUGAAUUUUUUUUUAAUAAAAGGAGAGGGGGGCUCACACACAAAGAGGGGCGGAGGCUCACCAAAGAAAAAAAAAAAACUUUCUCACCAAAGGAAAAAAAAACCUAUCUUCCUCCUUGCUCUCCCUCCUCUCUCCAUUCUCUCUCAUCUCUCUGGCAGACGACAACCCUAGUCGCUCUCAUCUCUCUUCCAUCUCCCAAGGCCGCACAGCAAACUCCAGCCACCGUCCAGCCAUCUCCAUAUUACCCGUCAACUUCCCAGCUGCACGACCAUCACCUUUGGCUUCCCACUGUUCACGCAUGACCAAAUCACGUCCGUCAAGCCUCUGCAACUCCGAAUCAGUCUCUCCGGUGGUGAUCCUAGGCGUUCACGACACCCAUCUCCGGCAAACCUCCACGAGACACCAACACGCCCUGCAGAUCCAGUUAUGCCAGCAAAGUAUAGUCACCCUCCUCCGGCCACCACAACAACUCCACAGCCAGACUCGAGCCCCUUUCUUCCUUCUCCUGCAUCGCCCCCCAUCUCUCUCGCUCUCAUGCCAGCAGCCCACGAGGAAGCUCAAGGCAGCCCCAACAACUCUUCUCCACCAUCGUCGAGCUCAUCUUGUGUCCCCACGACGCCCCCUGCUUAGCCUCCAACCACCGUCGUCAUCUCCAUCUGCUGUUGGACCUCCGACGAUCCAUACUCAGUCCCUGCAACCCCUUGGUUGAUUGACAGUUCAAGUGCUGAAUCGUUGGACCAAAUAAGGGGAUAUUGUUUGGAGAAGGCGGGCUCUAGCCUAACUAAAGGAGUGUUGUAAUUGCUAUUGUUUCGCCUGGUAAAGGAACAGUGAUAGUGAAUCUCUUGGUGGUUUUGCCAAGAGUGAGGACGUAACAAAAUAGAUUCAUUGUGACAACUCAAAUUUGGAGACUCGCCAGUUCAAUUUAUAAAUCUGUACCCACUAGAUGAAAUUCCUCCUGAACCUCCUCUAGACAUACUGUGAUGUUUUUCUUUUCUUUAUUUCAUUUUGUUUUAUUUUUAGUUUAUUUUUAGGUACAUUUUCCCUUAAUUUCAGUUUUUCUUUCCCCUUACUUCUCUACCUAGGUACUUCUCUACUUCCCUCAUUAUUAUUCUUUCGUUUCUC
Molecule: long non-coding RNA, 7816 nt
Organism: Malania oleifera
Lineage: Eukaryota; Viridiplantae; Streptophyta; Magnoliopsida; Santalales; Ximeniaceae
Exons: 3
Source: RefSeq, a predicted model, not a curated record